CUCGUUAACCUAUAAUUUUUGCAAACUAUCACGUUACAUAAAAGAAUUUAAUAUUUGACUUGGGCGGUAAUAACCGCCAUUACGAAUUUGUUCGCGAAGUGUCGGCGCUUAAAGAAAGAGUGAUUAGUAGGAGUAAAAAUAAAAAGCGCAUAGUUACAGCAUGUAACCUGUUGCUACUAAUAAUUAAGCGGUGUAUGCUUAACAUAAGCGGUUUCCCAAACGCCGUUAAAAUUACACGCUUCAUCAAAAGAGCCUGGUGGUUAACGAAGCUUUAAUCUCUGGAUAUUUCCCGUUACUGUAAAUACAGAUUUUAUAUAAUACAUUCACCGUUUUAUUUUUCGGUAAGGGGCGAUGAAACUUUUAAUCUCCAGGAAGAAAUCCGAGAAACCGAACCGGAUCCCAUGACACGCGAAUAAAAAACAAACUGCUUUAUCGACGAUGAAUAUACCCCGUUAGAUUUGUAUAUAAUGCCAAGUUGACGGCGCUUUGCUUCAGUGAAUGUCUCUUUUUAUCUUUUUUCCCUGUUCCAGAAUAUUGGUUUUAGGUUUCGUCUCUGUACACGUUCAUUUACCUUCCACGGAAACAAAGAAUGAUAAAUAUAGGACGCGACUGGCUCUAUAUUUCCUACGAAGCAACUGGUCGCUGAAAGAAACCAUGAGGGCAUUGUUUUUUGUGAAAGGUAUUCCGAUGUUCUAAAACAAUGAUAGUGAAGGGAACAUUGAAUCGGAUUAAACUGAACCGUGUCCAAUUAAGUCGCAUCGAAUUUUGUAAGCGUGUUUUGAUAUUCGAUACUCUGGCCAGUGAUCGGCUAAUGUCGGGUAAAGUCGAGUGGAUACGAACAAGUUUUUGCGAUGCAAAUUAAAAUUUUCUGCCCAUGCAUUUUCAAGCAAACAAUUUUGACAUUAAAUAUUAAUGAAUAAUGUUUGUAGGUGGCGCUAUAAAAACAUUUCAAUUGAAGGAUUCUGUAUAAAGUGAUAAAUAAUAGGGUAAGGAGCACAGGAGACCACAUUGCGGUUGUAACAGUACGAAGAUUUAAGAGCAACUAGACUGAACAGUCGUUAUUGGAGCAUUAAUAAAAAGCCACUCUGUUAUUGUUCUCCGAUAAAGCCACGACAGUUAUGCGAUUCAGCGUGGGCCUCGUAGUCCGAUUCGUGGAUCGAUAACGCGAAAUCUCGUUCACGUUUCUCCUGGGGCACUUUCCAUCUGCGUCAUGAGAAACCACUUUAUUUAUACUCAGAAAAUUCUUUUUCCAUCGCGGCCCACAAGUGGUGCUCGCGCGAGCUCGUUCACUAGCACAUUCCAAUAUGCAAGCGUAGGCUCCUUAUAUUUAUGUAUCCUUACCGACAGAGUACAAUUAUAAAAGUAGAGAGUAAAUGAUACUGAACACAGGAUCUCAGAUUCCAUCAAUAACCAAUUGGAGAAUACGAAUCAAAGGAUUACGAAAGAGUUAUUCGCAUAAGCUAUAAGUAUUCAUGAUAUGUACGCGCACGUGGUUCUUCAGGAUACCGGUCCGAGUGUCGUGAACUGUUACGCGGCCCGCAAUCAAUAUUAGCAUGUCCCAUACGUAGGAUGGUAUUUAUAAAAAAUAAUAUGGUAGAACGAGAAGACUACGUGGAAAAUUAGCGACGUUAAAAAAUAAUUUACUUACCAAACGUACCGAAACUAUUGAAGUAUCAAAAGAGCUAUUACUGAAAACGCUGACGCUAAAUAUGCUGGAGUAGGGGCUUGAAAGGUUUGAAAAGCUUUGCAGAAAGCAUCUCUGAUAAAGGUGCUCUAACUGAAAAUCGAGGCCAAGCUAGAGGGAGUGAUUUCCAUAGCUUUUGCAAUGAACCAACAAUAUAUCCCAGUCGCCUGGUGGCGAGCUGGUUGCCAGGCAGCGGGUUUCGUCCAGGUAAACCGCUCCUCUCGUUUCCUCUUUCGCUCGCUUGUGCCCCGUUGCCGAUACAAACGCUAUAUUACCAGUCUAUCGACGUUUGAUAUCGGUCGGCUGAGUUCAGCGGUGCGCAAACUCUCAGAAUACGGCCAAAACUAGUUCCAGAUACAGCAAUCGCUGUUAAACGGAAUCAAAAUAAUAUCCAGGUGUCCACUAUGCAAAUUCGCAACCUCAUUUUUUGCUACUCUAGAACUCUAAUCACUUACAAAUCUGUAUGCACGCUACGUUCAAAUUUUCAUGACUUUCUAGAAGUCAUUUGAUUAUAAACAUUGACACUAUUAGUAAAUCUGAUCCUACACAAAAAUUCAAAUUGUAAUGACUUUAUGAUUAUAAAACAGAACUGCAGUACAUGAGUCAUUAAUAACCAAAUUGUUCCAUGCAUUAAGCAUGCCAUUACCUAAUAGCAAAAAAAUUUCUAAUUCCUUCUUUUUGUUUUUUAGAAACCGAGGGAAACGAGUUGCGUGAAUCGUCAUUUAUUGAGUAACGAUUACGAAACGAUGCAGUGCAGAGAAAGAAAAUUUCUCCCUUGCAAGACGUUGCACGAUUUUUAGGUUGACGAGUGUGCAAGGUUUAUGAACGUUCCGUGAAAUUCUACGUUAGAAAAACGUCGAUUCCGGUUCGGAUACAGGUGCCGCUAUUACGAGAUUAAUAAGCGUGAUCGUAAAUUAUCGCGAGGCACGAUACGAGUUGCGCGCCACUGAUUUAAUGGACGGCAGUUGGCUGGUGUUGGUAAUCGCGGUGAAAAAUCUUCCCUUUGAACGAGGCUGAAUCCGCCGUAAUUUUGUCGUCAGCGACGCCAUCCGUGCCCUUUAAUUACGAUUCGCUCGUCGAUCCUGAAGAAUCGACGCGAAAAUGCGGUCCCGAAGAAAAACUUUUCAAGGUUCAACGACCUUUUUCCCUUGUGACGGCUUAGCCGGGAUUCGCGAAACUUUGGGGCUAUUUUUAGAUUUGUGGAAUGAAAUUUCAAGCUGAGUCUUGCUAUCCAUAAACAAGGAUAAUUAGGAUAAUGAUUAGACUACACAGGAUAAAGAUUAUACAGGUUAGUCUAAUUAUUUGUCUUCAAGGUCGUUCAUUUUUAACUUCUCAUGACUUCGAAACUUAUUAAUUUACUUUUACAAGUUUCAUUAAUUUAUUUUUACGAUAUAAACCAGUGAAUUGUAAAAUAAUUUGUGAAUUUGUUUUCAGUGGUCACCGCAGGUGAAAAUCAAUGAAUCAAGGUUCGCCUAUUUUCAAACGGAGAAGCAAAACUAGCUUAUUAGCGUACGAAAUAACGCCGCAAUGUACCGUAAGCCGACGGAGAGCCUUCACGCAUCGUGGAUCGAAGCGAACAGGACACGGAGAACAGGCACGAUCGAUUCGUGGCUCGUUACGGCGUCUGGUCGAAAGUUCGAACGAGCCCUGUGCAUUAAUAUUUCCGUUAUUGCGCGCACAAGCACCGAGGUUAUGCCUUUCACACAGCUAAACAAUCAUACUGAAAACGAUCGUUACUCUUUCAAUCAAUCACGAAAUCAAUUUCAACGAAUUAGCACCUUCAACGCUGUACUAAAGUUUCAAGCAAUUUUACCUCAGGCCUCUAUUAACUUAUUAUGAGUCAAGAUUUUAUUACACCGCCUGAAACCUUUGGGAUAUGAAAAUAUUUUCUAUUGAUCAGUUUGGAGAAGGUAGAAGGCCUCAAACAUUAACUGUAAUUUUACAUAAGAAUAGGUCAGAUACUUGUCACUGAUGUAAUUACUGAGAUCUUCAAGAUUAUGUACUAUGGUGAGCGCGUAAACUUCCGCAGAGUAAAUUAUGGUGUACGAGAAAAAAGUCCCACUUGUUGCUCUCUCGUUGAUAAAUUUUCUUGCAACUAAAUGUCUUGAAUAUUUGAUCAAGUGUGUAUAACAGUGUUGGACAUUUUUGUAAAGAGCGUAAUGACUCGUUAAUUACUCCAUGCAUUAUGCAUAGAAAUUCGAUCUCGAUUGCUCUGUCGUGUGAACUUGAAAUUCGAUACCUCAGAUUUCGUAACAGAGUAAGAUUGCUUUUUAUGGACCUGUACACUUUACAUUUAGAAUCAUAUUUUAUAAUUGAGAAAUGAAUUCUCAAACCAUCUACUUAAUUGCAAAGAUGUUUUAAUUUUUAAAUAGGCUUAACUACUAAAAAGUUGAUCAAAGGUUUUCUAUAAUCUGAUCAAUAAAUAUAGCUGAUCAAUGAAUAUGGUUGAUACGUAUAA
This is a long non-coding RNA of Megachile rotundata (alfalfa leafcutting bee), 4142 nucleotides long. NCBI's taxonomy places the organism in Eukaryota, Metazoa, Arthropoda, Insecta, Hymenoptera, Megachilidae. The record is from RefSeq and is a predicted model, not a curated record.